GCAGGAAUGGCGGAAUGGCAGACGCGCUGUCUUCAGGCGGCAGUUUCUAACGAAGUGUGGGUUCGACUCCCAUUUCCUGCA
This 81-nucleotide transfer RNA is filed under the name Aerococcus christensenii. It matches the Rfam family "tRNA". From Rfam's summary of the family: Transfer RNA (tRNA) molecules are approximately 80 nucleotides in length. Their secondary structure includes four short double-helical elements and three loops (D, anti-codon, and T loops). The record is from Rfam by way of RNAcentral. Lineage: Bacteria; Bacillati; Bacillota; Bacilli; Lactobacillales; Aerococcaceae.